CGGAGGGUGCAAGCGUUAUCCGGAUUCACUGGGUUUAAAGGGUGUGUAGGCGGGCAGUUAAGUCAGUGGUGAAAUCUCCAGGCUCAACCUGGAAACUGCCAUUGAUACUAUCUGUCUUGAAUUCUGUUGAGGUGGGCGGAAUACAUCAUGUAGCGGUGAAAUGCUCAGAUAUGAUGUAGAACACCGAUUGCGAAGGCAGCUCACUAAGCAGCGAUUGACGCUGAGGCACGAAAGCGUGGGGAUCAAACAGGAUUAGAUACCCUGGUAGUCCACGCCCUAAACGAUGAUUACUCGACAUACGCGAUACACAGUGUGUGUCUGAGCGAAAGCAUUAAGUAAUCCACCUGGGAAGUACGACCGCAAGGUUG
Molecule: ribosomal RNA, 368 nt
Filed under: uncultured organism
Description: bacterial SSU rRNA
Rfam family: Bacterial small subunit ribosomal RNA
Source: RNAcentral